GCUGGCGGUGCGCCUUAUGCAUGCAAGUCGAGCGAAGCUUUUCAGUAGUUUACUACAGAAAAUGACUGAGCGGCGAACGGGUGAGUAACGCGUGAGCAAUCUACCUUAGUUACAGGGAUAGCCCGAGGAAACUCGGAUUAAUACCUGAUAUUCUUUACAUUUCACAUGAAAUCAAAAGGAAAGGUCAGCCGAACUAAGAUGAGCUCGCGUUCUAUCAGCUAGUUGGUGAGGUAAUAGCUCACCAAGGCAACGACGGAUAGCUGGUCUGAGAGGACGAUCAGCCACACUGGGACUGAGACACGGCCCAGACUCCUACGGGAGGCUGCAGCAGGGAAUAUUGCGCAAUGAGCGAAAGCUUGACGCAGCGACACCGCGUGUGGGAUGACGGAUCUAGGUUUGUAAACCACUUUCAGGAGGGAAGAAAAUGACGGUACCUCCACAAGAAGCCCCGGCCAACUACGUGCCAGCAGCCGCGGUAAUACGUAGGGGGCGAGCGUUGUCCGGAUUUAUUGGGCGUAAAGAGCUCGUAGGCGGUUCAACAAGUCGGUCGUAAAAGUUCAGGGCUCAACCCUGAAAUGUCGAUCGAUACUGUUGUGACUAGGAUACGGUAGAGGUGAGUGGAAU
Molecule: ribosomal RNA, 624 nt
Filed under: uncultured bacterium
Lineage: Bacteria
Description: bacterial SSU rRNA
Rfam family: Bacterial small subunit ribosomal RNA
Source: RNAcentral